Molecule: long non-coding RNA, 484 nt
Organism: Amphimedon queenslandica
Lineage: Eukaryota; Metazoa; Porifera; Demospongiae; Haplosclerida; Niphatidae
Exons: 2
Source: RefSeq, a predicted model, not a curated record
AAUAGUGUGCUGUCAAUGUAUUUGAAAAAAGGUAGGGGUGCACACACAGAAGUUUAACUUUUCAGACUAUACAAACAUACUAUGAAGUGGUAUGUACAAACUUACAAAUUUUAGUUUAUUAUUGCAACAGUUUGUACCCAAACAAGACAGUUCCAUUGACUGUGGUGCUUAUCUGUGCAAAUUAUGCAUAUCUAAUAUGUUAUUGUUAAAAUUAAUUGACUUUUAGUUUGCCUAUACAUCAUACUGUGUUGUGAUGGAGUGUUCCGAUAUGUUGUCCAAGUAUAAAUUCUAUUGUAAUGGUUAUGCUCUGUCAUAACAUUGUUUAUUAGAUAACUUCAAAAUUUUUGAGGCAAUGGCUUAUGACUCUCAUGCUUCACAGUUUCAGGUGGAAGACAAUAACUAUUAGCGUUGCAACCAGAGUUGCUUAGUGCUAAGCAACUCUUUACAAUGAUUUACAAGCAUUGAAACGGGAUCUGCAAAAAAA